CCUACGGGUUGCAGCAGUGGGGAAUACUGGACAAUGGGCGAGAGCCUGAUCUAGCAAUGCCGCGUGAGUGAAGAAGGCCUUAGGGUUGUAAAGCUCUUUCACCGGUGAAGAUAAUGACGGUAACCGGAGAAGAAGCCCCGGCUAACUUCGUGCCAGCAGCCGCGGUAAUACGAAGGGGGCUAGCGUUGUUCGGAAUUACUGGGCGUAAAGCGCGCGUAGGCGGAUAGAUAAGUCAGAGGUGAAAUCCCGGGGCUCAACCCCGGAAUUGCCUUUGAUACUGUUUAUCUUGAGUGCAGAAGAGGUAAGUGGAAUUCCGAGUGUAGAGGUGAAAUUCGUAGAUAUUCGGAGGAACACCAGUGGCGAAGGAGGCUUACUGGUCUGCAACUGACGCUGAGGCGCGUAAGCGUGGGGAGCAAACAGGAUUAGAUACCCGCGUAGUC
This 440-nucleotide ribosomal RNA is filed under the name uncultured bacterium. Its description in RNAcentral is "bacterial SSU rRNA". It matches the Rfam family "Bacterial small subunit ribosomal RNA", at positions 338 to 795 of the family's 1533-position model. The record is from RNAcentral.